CUUUCUGAGUAUUGCAGGGCCUUGCUAAUUUGCUGAGGCUGGCUUUGAACUCACAAUCCUCCUGCCUCAUCCUUCCCAGCUUCUGGGAUUGCAGAGCUGCUGCACCCAGCCAUGUGUCCUUUGCUUCUGAGGAAUCCAGAGCCAAUGCCCACCCUGCUAAUCUUCUAGGGGGCAGGCUUAUUCUUCUGUUUCCCUUAGGCAUUUCCUUUCUGCCAGCCUAACUUCCCACUGCCCAGCCCCUCCCUAAGCCUGAGACCAUCCUCUCCCUGGAGGCCCCAGCAGGUGCCUCGUGAGAGAGUCACUGUCUGUGUCCUAGGAUGUUCUGAGCUAUCUUGACCUUUCAGAGAACAGCAUAUGAUCUGGAAGGGGAAAACAGUGUGUUCACAAUAAAGACCAAAAAAUGUAAGAUAGAGUGAGGUGGACAGAGAACAUGAAGCUCUCAUUGGGGAAGAGGGAGGAAUUUGAGAUCAUUUGCACGCUGGGUGCUGCUGUGUGCAGAAAGGGCUUUUGAGUUAUAAAUGUGAUUGCAGGAAGAGCAUUUACUCCACUGGAGAGAAAAUUCUGUAGUUUACACUUUAGUAGCUAAGAUUUAAAGGGGUUCAUUUAGGCUAGUGUUGCCAAAUAUGUUCCACAAAUGAGGAAGCCGAGGUCCAGAGAGAAGAGGGUACUUCUCCAGGACCACAGACCAGCACUGUGGCUCUGAAACUUUUGGAAGUCAGGCACCUCUUUAAAAAUUGAGUAAAUGAUAAUUGUGAUAGUUUGCAUAUAAUUCAGAGGGUUCAUGGCCCCUCUAAACUUGUCGGCAGGGGGUCUGUGAAUCUUGGCUCUCACACUCUGCAGCAAGCUGAUGAAUCAGGAUCUGAAUCCAGCUUUGGCCUCCCAGCCUAAUUUUCCCUCCUCCCUGCCAGCCAACCUCCUGGUUUUGUUAGAGCAGGUCUGGCCUACUUUGGAGCCCUUGGCCUGCAUUUUGUUCGGGCAGCUUUGUGCUUUGUAAAACAUUCUGGGAUUCAGACUCUCAGUCCUCCAGCUGGUCUCUCCCACACCUGAUGGGGGUUAGCGAUGUUGAGUGUGCCAUGCCAAGCCUCUCCACGGAGAGGACUUUCUGGACCAGGAUCUGGACAUGGGGCCUGAAGAGGAGAGUCUGGGCCCCAGCUGGCUCUGUCCUUUAAUAGGUGAAUGAGGGCGAGUCUGAUCUGUGUUCCAGGGACCACCAUUAGCUUAUAGGUGAAUGUAGAAAGAGACAUUCCCUUUGAGGAUUUCUGCAGCUCUGUCCCCUCCUUUGCUGCUGAAGCCCCAUCCUGGGAUUUCCAGAUAUAUUUUCCUUUUGGGGGGGCAGUCCUAGGGAUUGAACCCAAGGG
Molecule: long non-coding RNA, 1358 nt
Filed under: Marmota monax (woodchuck)
Lineage: Eukaryota; Metazoa; Chordata; Mammalia; Rodentia; Sciuridae
Source: RNAcentral